Molecule: ribosomal RNA, 381 nt
Filed under: Parahaemophilus pittmaniae
Lineage: Bacteria; Pseudomonadati; Pseudomonadota; Gammaproteobacteria; Pasteurellales; Pasteurellaceae
Description: Haemophilus pittmaniae bacterial SSU rRNA
Rfam family: Bacterial small subunit ribosomal RNA
Source: RNAcentral
UUGCUUUCUUUGCUGACGAGUGGCGGACGGGUGAGUAAUGCUUGGGUAUCUGGCUUAUGGAGGGGGAUAACUACGGGAAACUGUAGCUAAUACCGCGUAGUAUCGGAAGAUGAAAGUGUGGGACCGCAAGGCCACAUGCCAUAGGAUGAGCCCAAGUGGGAUUAGGUAGUUGGUGAGGUAAUGGCUCACCAAGCCGACGAUCUCUAGCUGGUCUGAGAGGAUGACCAGCCACACCGGGACUGAGACACGGCCCGGACUCCUACGGGAGGCAGCAGUGGGGAAUAUUGCGCAAUGGGGGCAACCCUGACGCAGCCAUGCCGCGUGAAUGAAGAAGGCCUUCGGGUUGUAAAGUUCUUUCGGUAGCGAGGAAGGCAUUUAGUU